Molecule: long non-coding RNA, 2300 nt
Organism: Pipistrellus kuhlii (Kuhl's pipistrelle)
Lineage: Eukaryota; Metazoa; Chordata; Mammalia; Chiroptera; Vespertilionidae
Exons: 2
Source: RefSeq, a predicted model, not a curated record
CAGCCAAUCCAUGAUUGUCUCAUCAUGGAUGUUUCUCUCUCUCCCUCUUCUCUAAAAUCAAUAAAAUAUAUUUAAAAAAUAAAAAGGAGACCCUCUUAUAAAAAAUGUAAAUAGACACAAGAGGGGACAUGAUAGUUGUAGCAAUCCAUCACCUAAAAAUGACAAUAGAUUUAAUAAUACUGGUUGGAUGUCCUUUCUGUUCUUACAUUUUCAUAUGUUAUGAAUUUGGUAAGUCUGGUAUAUUUCUUUGUAAAAACAUUGAGUUGGCUUCUAUGAACUCUGGACCUUUUCCUCACAAGUACAAUUUUGUAGACUAAAUUUCCAGGCACUUUACAGUCAUUUGGUCUAUUAUUUUAAAAUAUUAUCUAAAGAGUAUUUUAGCAAUGGGUCACCUCCUGGGAAGGAGUCUCUUCUUACUCCUGCUUUAACACGUUUCCCUCCAUCGCCUCAAGUUAAAAGUCACCCAGAAUGCUCUACAGAGAGCAGACCUACUGAGUCAGUUUCCAGGGCAUAUGCCCAUGAUCUUCAUCAGCCAAGUUUGGGAACAAUCACACAAGAAUAAGUUGAAUUCUGCUCACGUUGAGUCACUAUGCUAAAGCCCCUUGCCCUGUUGUUCUCCUCUUGGUUAAUCUGAAAUUGUCUACUGAUACACACAGUCACAUUUAAAACAUCUUUGGUAAUACAGUAUAUGGUUUAUUACAGGUAGAAGAACUUGCUUUGAAUACCAGCCUAAAUAAUUGAUUUUGCUGAGAAUGAAUGUGUGCGUGCAUAGUUACCUUGUCUAAGGGAAACUGUAUUUUUCUCUUGGACUAUCCUAAAGUUGGGGAUACAUUAAUUUAAAAAAAAAAAUCAAUGCCCAGUAGAAUAAUUUAGAAACCCACCCAGGGAGAGAGUAGGCUUUUGAACAACUUAUAUUUUCUUUGAACUUGGGGAAAAUGUUCUCAAAACAUCCAUCUAACCAACUGUUCAGAACCAUAAUAACUGUGGCUUAUGGCUUCUACUAAUUCUACAGCUUUCUAUACCUGAACUUCGCUCUUUCCCCCUGUAUGUUUUUGAAAACUCAGGAAGAGCUAAGCUGUUUUUAUAUUUCAUUAAGAAAUGUCUUGAUGAUUUAUAACUCCAAAAUUCCAAAUGUUGUCAUAGCAAACCCCAGAUUGGAUGUACCUGUAUUUUAUGAUGACUUAGAAACUUCUUCUACAAGUCAGCAAAAGUUGUAGAAUGUUUUGAGUUUAUUUUUGAUAUGCGAUAACAAGAGUUCAUGAGUUCUGCGCGCCGGCCUGGACGCUGACCAUGGAGAAGUAGAGGCCCUUCUGCGCCAGCAGCUGCUGGUGGGUGCCGUGCUCCCUGAUCUUGCCGUUCUGGAACACCACGAUCAGGUCCGCGUUCUGGAUGGUGGACAGGCGGUGCGCGAUCACAAUGCAGGUGCGGCCUUCUCUGGCCUUGUCCAGGGCUUCUUGGACAAUCUAUACACAAAUCAGAUCAGAAGAAGCCUUACCUUAAUUAUAUGAAUAGGUUUUAGCAUUAAAUUUAAAAAUGUUACCAUCCAAGCAAGAAAAUGUCAUUCCUUAUCUCUUUGAAUAUUUGCCUCUAUGCCUGUGUAUUAAUAUAAUUUGACGUCACAUACAGUUAUGUUCUUUUUAAUUAUAAUAAGAAUGGAUUGUCACUACAAUCUUCACAAGUAGUAAAAAUUUCUAACUAGUCACAAAAUAUUUGACGGAACUAGGUCCCUUUUAUUGAGUAUUUUCCAUGAGGAUUAAUAUGCUAAAAUGAUUUAUGCAGCCUUUUCUUUUGAAUACUUUACUUUUAGUGCAUUUCUAAACGUAAUGCAUGAUCAUUUUAGAAAAACUGGAAAAUACUGAAAGGAAUAAGAAAAUGUUCUACCUCAAAAUAACCACUGUCUAAAUUUCUAUUUACUUUUUUUCUGUGCUUACGUUUGUUUUUUUCAUGGCUAAUAGCACAAAACCCUUCUGUUUUACAGAUUAAAUAGGAUGUGAGGUGGAAGACCGUACUUUUUCACUUUCAGUGUCCAGAGCGGAAGUAGCUUCAUCCAACAGCAGGAAUCGAGGUUGUCUGAUGAGGGCUCGGGCGAUCGCAAUCCUCUGUUUCUGACCUCCUGAGAGUUGAGUCCCCUUAUCUCCCACUUUUGUGUCGUAUUUCUGCAAGUCAGUCAACAAAAGUAAUGAAGGUCCUAACCCAGCAAAAUUACUGAUGUUAUAAUGAAUAAACUUUUACUUAACAUAUGACAGUACUACUUACAAGGAAAAAAAAUUUGGAAUCAAUAAAAAAGUUUCUGUAUCAGC